UGGGGAAUAUUGGACAAUGGGCGCAAGCCUGAUCCAGCCAUGCCGCGUGUGUGAAGAAGGCCUUUUGGUUGUAAAGCACUUUAAGCGAGGAGGAGGCUACUUGGAUUAAUACUCUAAGAUAGUGGACGUUACUCGCAGAAUAAGCACCGGCUAACUCUGUGCCAGCAGCCGCGGUAAUACAGAGGGUGCGAGCGUUAAUCGGAUUUACUGGGCGUAAAGCGUGCGUAGGCGGCUUCUUAAGUCGGAUGUGAAAUCCCUGAGCUUAACUUAGGAAUUGCAUUCGAUACUGGGAAGCUAGAGUAUGGGAGAGGAUGGUAGAAUUCCAGGUGUAGCGGUGAAAUGCGUAGAGAUCUGGAGGAAUACCGAUGGCGAAGGCAGCCAUCUGGCCUAAUACUGACGCUGAGGUACGAAAGCAUGGGGAGCAAACAGG
RNAcentral lists this ribosomal RNA (430 nucleotides) under bacterium. RNAcentral's name for it is "partial 16S ribosomal RNA". It matches the Rfam family "Bacterial small subunit ribosomal RNA", at positions 355 to 776 of the family's 1533-position model. RNAcentral also lists the same sequence under 6 other names. The record is from RNAcentral.